Molecule: non-coding RNA, 86 nt
Filed under: Oceanobacillus limi
Lineage: Bacteria; Bacillati; Bacillota; Bacilli; Caryophanales; Bacillaceae
Description: Ornithinibacillus sp. H9B(2010) c-di-GMP-I riboswitch aptamer
Rfam family: c-di-GMP-I riboswitch aptamer
About the family: GEMM was predicted in a large-scale screen for bacterial structured RNA regulatory elements. Genes associated with GEMM are involved in a diverse array of functions, including chemotaxis regulation, signal transduction, secretion and chitin.
Source: Rfam by way of RNAcentral
AUCAGAAAAAGGCAAACCUAUCGAAAGGUAGCGACGCAAAGCUUUAGGGGCUAAAAAUCUACGGAUCCUGCCAGCCAGCUACCGGU